AUUGAACGCUGGCGGCAUGCCUUACACAUGCAAGUCGAACGGCAGCACGGAGCUUGCUCUGGUGGCGAGUGGCGAACGGGUGAGUAAUAUAUCGGAACGUACCCUAGAGUGGGGGAUAACGUAGCGAAAGUUACGCUAAUACCGCAUACGAUCUAAGGAUGAAAGUGGGGGAUCGCAAGACCUCAUGCUCGUGGAGCGGCCGAUAUCUGAUUAGCUAGUUGGUAGGGUAAAAGCCUACCAAGGCAUCGAUCAGUAGCUGGUCUGAGAGGACGACCAGCCACACUGGAACUGAGACACGGUCCAGACUCCUACGGGAGGCAGCAGUGGGGAAUUUUGGACAAUGGGCGAAAGCCUGAUCCAGCAAUGCCGCGUGAGUGAAGAAGGCCUUCGGGUUGUAAAGCUCUUUUGUCAGGGAAGAAACGGUGAGAGCUAAUAUCUCUUGCUAAUGACGGUACCUGAAGAAUAAGCACCGGCUAACUACGUGCCAGCAGCCGCGGUAAUACGUAGGGUGCAAGCGUUAAUCGGAAUUACUGGGCGUAAAGCGUGCGCAGGCGGUUUUGUAAGUCUGAUGUGAAAUCCCCGGGCUCAACCUGGGAAUUGCAUUGGAGACUGCAAGGCUAGAAUCUGGCAGAGGGGGGUAGAAUUCCACGUGUAGCAGUGAAAUGCGUAGAUAUGUGGAGGAACACCGAUGGCGAAGGCAGCCCCCUGGGUCAAGAUUGACGCUCAUGCACGAAAGCGUGGGGAGCAAACAGGAUUAGAUACCCUGGUAGUCCACGCCCUAAACGAUGUCUACUAGUUGUCGGGUCUUAAUUGACUUGGUAACGCAGCUAACGCGUGAAGUAGACCGCCUGGGGAGUACGGUCGCAAGAUUAAAACUCAAAGGAAUUGACGGGGACCCGCACAAGCGGUGGAUGAUGUGGAUUAAUUCGAUGCAACGCGAAAAACCUUACCUACCCUUGACAUGGCUGGAAUCCUCGAGAGAUUGAGGAGUGCUCGAAAGAGAACCAGUACACAGGUGCUGCAUGGCUGUCGUCAGCUCGUGUCGUGAGAUGUUGGGUUAAGUCCCGCAACGAGCGCAACCCUUGUCAUUAGUUGCUACGAAAGGGCACUCUAAUGAGACUGCCGGUGACAAACCGGAGGAAGGUGGGGAUGACGUCAAGUCCUCAUGGCCCUUAUGGGUAGGGCUUCACACGUCAUACAAUGGUACAUACAGAGCGCCGCCAACCCGCGAGGGGGAGCUAAUCGCAGAAAGUGUAUCGUAGUCCGGAUUGUAGUCUGCAACUCGACUGCAUGAAGUUGGAAUCGCUAGUAAUCGCGGAUCAGCAUGUCGCGGUGAAUACGUUCCCGGGUCU
This 1352-nucleotide ribosomal RNA is filed under the name uncultured bacterium. Its description in RNAcentral is "bacterial SSU rRNA". It matches the Rfam family "Bacterial small subunit ribosomal RNA", at positions 28 to 1381 of the family's 1533-position model. The record is from RNAcentral.